UUGUGGUUAAAAAGCUCGUAGUUGGAUCUCGGCGGACUGAGGGCGGUUUGCUUGCUAGUAUUACUGCCCUAUAGUCCGUAGUUUUGCCAGAGGUUUCGGGGUGCUCUUAAUCGAGUGUCCCGGGAUGCUGGCAGGUUUACUUUGAAAAAAUUAGAGUGCUCAAAGCAGGCUAUUACGCCUGAAUAUUCGUGCAUGGAAUAAUAGAAUAGGAAGUCGUUUCUAUUUUGUUGGUUUUCGGAAAUCGACUUAAUGAUUAAUUGGGACAGUCGGGGGCAUUUGUAUUCAAACGACAGAGGUGAAAUUCUUGGACCGUUUGAAGACAAACUACUGCGAAAGCAUUUGCCAAGAAUGUUUUCAUUAAUCAAGAACGAAAGUUAAAGGUUCGAAGGCGAUUAGAUACCGCCCUAGUUUUAACCAUAAACGAUGCCAGCUAGCGAUCUGCGGACGUUUUUUUUGUAGACUCCGCAGGAAGCUUCCGGGAAACCAAAGCAUUUGGGUUCCAGGGGAAGUAUGGUUGCAAAGCUGAAACUUAAAGGAAUUGACGGAAGGGCACCACCAGGAGUGGAGCCUGUGGCUUAAUUUGACUCAACACGGGAAAUCUC
Molecule: ribosomal RNA, 602 nt
Filed under: uncultured marine eukaryote
Lineage: Eukaryota
Description: SSU rRNA
Rfam family: Eukaryotic small subunit ribosomal RNA
Source: RNAcentral